RNAcentral lists this ribosomal RNA (460 nucleotides) under uncultured bacterium. RNAcentral describes it as "partial 16S ribosomal RNA". It matches the Rfam family "Bacterial small subunit ribosomal RNA", at positions 338 to 795 of the family's 1533-position model. The record is from RNAcentral.
CCUACGGGGGGCAGCAGUGAGGAAUAUUGGUCAAUGGACGCAAGUCUGAACCAGCCAUGCCGCGUGCAGGAUGACGGCUCUAUGAGUUGUAAACUGCUUUUGUACGAGGGUAAACCACGAUACGUGUAUCGGGUUGAAAGUAUCGUACGAAUAAGGAUCGGCUAACUCCGUGCCAGCAGCCGCGGUAAUACGGAGGAUCCGAGCGUUAUCCGGCUUUAUUGGGGUUCAAGGGGGCGUAGGCGGUUUGAUAAGUUAGAGGUGAAAUGUCGGGGCUCAACCCCGAAACUUCCUCUCAUACUGUUGGCCUAGAGCAUAGUUGCGGUAGGCUGACUGUUUGGUGUAGCGGUGAACUGCUUAGAGAUCAUACAGAACACCGAUUGCGAAGGCAGCUUACCACACUAUAUCUGACGUUGAGGCACGAAAGCGUGGGUAGCAAACAGGAUUAGAUACCCCGGUAGUC